UGGGGAAUUUUCCGCAAUGGGCGAAAGCCUGACGGAGCAACGCCGCGUGAGGGAUGAAGGCCUCUGGGCUGUAAACCUCUUUUCUCAAGGAAGAAGAUCUGACGGUACUUGAGGAAUAAGCCACGGCUAAUUCCGUGCCAGCAGCCGCGGUAAUACGGGAGUGGCAAGCGUUAUCCGGAAUUAUUGGGCGUAAAGCGUCCGCAGGCGGCCCUUCAAGUCUGCUGUUAAAGCGUGGAGCUUAACUCCAUCAUGGCAGUGGAAACUGUUGGGCUUGAGUGUGGUAGGGGCAGAGGGAAUUCCCGGUGUAGCGGUGAAAUGCGUAGAUAUCGGGAAGAACACCAGUGGCGAAGGCGCUCUGCUGGGCCAUCACUGACGCUCAUGGACGAAAGCCAGGGGAGCGAAAGGGAUUAGAUACCCCUGUAGUC
Molecule: ribosomal RNA, 425 nt
Filed under: uncultured cyanobacterium
Lineage: Bacteria; Bacillati; Cyanobacteriota
Description: bacterial SSU rRNA
Rfam family: Bacterial small subunit ribosomal RNA
Source: RNAcentral